UUUUUAUUUCUUUGCUAAUAAGCUCAUUCAAAGGAUGUAAGAGAAAGGUGGGAUGAACGAGCAUCAUUCAAAGUUGAACUAAGAUGUUUUGGUAUUUGA
Rhagoletis zephyria (snowberry fruit fly) is the source of this 99-nucleotide long non-coding RNA. RefSeq lists it as uncharacterized. Lineage: Eukaryota; Metazoa; Arthropoda; Insecta; Diptera; Tephritidae. The record is from RefSeq and is a predicted model, not a curated record.